This 253-nucleotide ribosomal RNA is filed under the name uncultured bacterium. RNAcentral's name for it is "partial 16S ribosomal RNA". It matches the Rfam family "Bacterial small subunit ribosomal RNA", at positions 524 to 776 of the family's 1533-position model. The record is from RNAcentral.
UACGUAGGGACCGAGCGUUGUCCGGAAUCAUUGGGCGUAAAGAGCGUGUAGGCGGCUUGUUAAGUCUUGCGUGAAAUCUCGGGGCUCAACCCCGAGCGGUCGUGAGAAGCUGGCAGGCUAGAGUGCGGGAGAGGAGAGUGGAAUUCCUGGUGUAGCGGUGAAAUGCGCAGAUAUCAGGAAGAACACCCGUGGCGAAGGCGGCUCUCUGGAACGCAACUGACGCUGAGACGCGAAAGCGUGGGGAGCAAACAGG